This is a non-coding RNA of Tetranychus urticae (two-spotted spider mite), 1764 nucleotides long. The record is from RefSeq and is a predicted model, not a curated record. NCBI's taxonomy places the organism in Eukaryota, Metazoa, Arthropoda, Arachnida, Trombidiformes, Tetranychidae.
UUAAGCCUUUCCCUUUCUUAUUCAAUCACAUGACUUUUCCAUCUUUUGUAAAUUAACGGUUGCAAGCUAUGUUUUUAUUACAUUCAAUCUAUUAAUUUAAUUGUUACCUUGAAUUGUUUUUAAUUUAAUUUUGUGAUGUUUAUUAUCUUUCGGUCAACGGUUAAUGUUAGUUGGUUAAUUUCAUCAGCCAUAUUAUUCAAUUGCUGGUCAAUUAUGUGAAUCCUGGUGAACAUGCUGUUUAAUACCUCGUCAAUGGACCCAAUUCACUUGGCCUAAAAGUACUCAUGGCUGUAUUCACUCACACACUCACACACACACACUUUUGCCAGCAAUUUCAUACUCAUUUUUUAUGCAAACAACAUUUUGUCAACCAAAAAAUUAUCAUUAACUAUUAUCAUCAUCAGUCGGAUCAUCCUGAUUCUCCCUUCAAAACGCAGCCAAAUGCAUCCAACACUGAUCCAGCCCACGCCUCUCUUACCCACCUUUGCUCAUCCUCAUCUUAAUCAUGGUUGAUCAUCACUCAAAAAAAUGGUUUAAUAAUGAGAAAAUAGGGGAAAAAAGGAAAGAUAACGAAAAAUGUCCCGUAAAGUUGAAGAGAAAAUCCUUUUGAUUCUCUUUCUUAUCUUUAAUUGUGUUAUUCACUGUUUCAAUGAGAUUCUCAGUCAUCAACAGCAUAUUAUUCAAAUUGGAUUUGUUAGUCCGUAAAAAAUCAAUCUAAAUCAUUCACAAAACUAUCAAAACAAAUGCAACAAUUUACAUCUCUAAACACAGACACACUAUCAUCAUCACCAUCACCACUGCAAUUUCACCAACAACAGCAACUGUAACAAGAGGAUGGAAAAUAUUAACAACCAACUUUCCACUUGAAUAAACAUGAUCCAUGAGGAAAACUCACAAUUAUAAUAAAAAAGAAAGGGAUGGAAAAAAGAAGACAAAAAGGGUCACAAGAUCUUUUCUUAUCAUCAUCAUCAGCAUGAAAGGGAAAAUAGCCCAGAGCAUAUUUUCAUUUCUACAUCAACAAUUACUUUAUUAACUCUAAUUUCUUGUCUUCCUCUUUUGUCAUCAUUAUCAUCCUAGUUUCACCCAAAAGACAUAACAAUAAUAAUGAUAAUAGUAAUAAUAUAAUAAUAUCAUCUUAUUGAUGCCACAAGCUAUUCUUAAAUUUACUUUUUCCUUGUUUACUUAGACAUUAGACUCUAUUGUCAUUAUCAUUGAUAUUAUUGUUUGAUUAAACUUUUAAUUGACAAUGUUUAAUCUUAAUUUAGGCAUAAAGCUUAAUUAACCAGGGUUAAUAAGCAAAGUAAAUGAUUACAUUGUUGUAAAGACAAGAAAUUAGAAGAAGUGAUUAGUAAAGUUUGGAAAUUUGGUGGAGAAGAAAAUGGUUCAUCAUUUUGCAUCCUGAUGUUUGUCAAAGACAUUAAAAGGUUCCUUCAACCCUCUGUUUGCUUACCUGUGAUACCUUUUAACCUGUCAAUCAAAUAGCAAGUCAAGGUUGCAAAUAUUCAAAUGAUGAUAAACCUAAUCAUUUAGAUUGAUGGUUACAGAAAAGGGAUGAAGAGUGAGAUAAAUAUAACCAUUAUCAUCAUCAUAAUCAUGUUGAUCACCAGCAACAAGCAGAAAAAAUGAAGAAAUUUUUUCUUUCCAUUCACCAGAAAUCACGUUUUCUUUCCAAUCAUUUCAUUUUAUUUGCUCAAUUGGUACUAAUUUGCUUUGAAUUAAUAACAAUUGAUAAAGUUGAAUAAAUAAAAAAAUGGUUAACUUGAA